This 239-nucleotide ribosomal RNA is filed under the name uncultured bacterium. Its description in RNAcentral is "partial 16S ribosomal RNA". It matches the Rfam family "Bacterial small subunit ribosomal RNA", at positions 95 to 334 of the family's 1533-position model. The record is from RNAcentral.
CCGGCGCACGGGUGAGUAACGCGUAUGCAACUUACCUAUCAGGAGGGGAUAACCCGGCGAAAGUCGGACUAAUACCGCAUGAAGCAGGGGUCCCGCAUGGGGAUAUUUGCUAAAGAUUCAUCGCUGAUAGAUAGGCAUGCGUUCCAUUAGGCAGUUGGCGGGGUAACGGCCCACCAAACCGACGAUGGAUAGGGGUUCUGAGAGGAAGGUCCCCACAUUGGUACUGAGACACGGACCAA